RNAcentral lists this non-coding RNA (45 nucleotides) under Schistosoma curassoni. The record is from RNAcentral. Lineage: Eukaryota; Metazoa; Platyhelminthes; Trematoda; Strigeidida; Schistosomatidae.
AUUCGGUUGAUGAGUCCCAAAUAGGAUGAAACGCGCGUCCUCUAU